This 490-nucleotide ribosomal RNA is filed under the name uncultured bacterium. RNAcentral's name for it is "partial 16S ribosomal RNA". It matches the Rfam family "Bacterial small subunit ribosomal RNA", at positions 30 to 507 of the family's 1533-position model. The record is from RNAcentral.
AUUGAACGCUGGCGGCAGGCCUAACACAUGCAAGUCGAACGGUAACAGGAAGAAGCUUGCUUCUUUGCUGACGAGUGGCGGACGGGUGAGUAAUGUCUGGGAAACUGCCUGAUGGAGGGGGAUAACUACUGGAAACGGUAGCUAAUACCGCAUAACGUCGCAAGACCAAAGAGGGGGACCUUCGGGCCUCUUGCCAUCGGAUGUGCCCAGAUGGGAUUAGCUAGUAGGUGGGGUAACGGCUCACCUAGGCGACGAUCCCUAGCUGGUCUGAGAGGAUGACCAGCCACACUGGAACUGAGACACGGUCCAGACUCCUACGGGAGGCAGCAGUGGGGAAUAUUGCACAAUAGGCGCAAGCCUGAUGCAGCCAUGCCGCGUGUAUGAAGAAGGCCUUCGGGUUGUAAAGUACUUUCAGCGGGGAGGAAGGGAGUAAAGUUAAUACCUUUGCUCAUUGACGUUACCCGCAGAAGAAGCACCGGCUAACUCCGUG